Molecule: long non-coding RNA, 329 nt
Filed under: Marmota monax (woodchuck)
Lineage: Eukaryota; Metazoa; Chordata; Mammalia; Rodentia; Sciuridae
Source: RNAcentral
CCCCAAGAAAGCCCUGCUAUUUUCAUGGAGAAACUCAGAGAGGCAAUGAGAAAACACACCACUGUGGAUCCUGAAUCCACAGAGGGCCAAUUACUUUUAAAGGACAAAUUUAUCACUCAGUCAGCCCCAGACAUCCGGAGGAAGUUACAAAAAUUGGCAUAUGGCCCUGAUCAAUCUUUAGAUAACAUCUUCCGACUUGCUACUUUGGUUUUUUAUAAUAGAGAUAUAGAGGGGAAAAAGGAGAAAGAGCUCAGAGACAGAAAAAGAACUGAAGCUCUUAGAGGAGUAAGCUCCCAGGGUGAAGGAGGAAGAUGAAAUGCUCCUCAACC